GGUCACGUGGCCGAGUGGUUAGGCAACGGUCUGCAAAACCGUUUACACCGGUUCGAAUCCGGUCGUGACCUCCA
This 74-nucleotide transfer RNA is filed under the name Parcubacteria group bacterium. RNAcentral describes it as "tRNA-Cys". It matches the Rfam family "tRNA". From Rfam's summary of the family: Transfer RNA (tRNA) molecules are approximately 80 nucleotides in length. Their secondary structure includes four short double-helical elements and three loops (D, anti-codon, and T loops). Further hydrogen bonds mediate the characteristic L-shaped molecular structure. tRNAs have two regions of fundamental functional importance: the anti-codon, which is responsible for specific mRNA codon recognition, and the 3' end, to which the tRNAs corresponding amino acid is attached (by aminoacyl-tRNA synthetases). tRNAs cope with the degeneracy of the genetic code in two manners: having more than one tRNA (with a specific anti-codon) for a particular amino acid; and 'wobble' base-pairing, i.e. permitting non-standard base-pairing at the 3rd anti-codon position. The record is from RNAcentral.